UUUUUAACGCUGGCUAUAGGCAAAAUUAAAGCGGGGCUACGGCCAGUGAGGACGGGCAGAACCUCUGGUCCUCCAUUCUGAGUGAAGUCUCAACACGGUCACGCUCUAAGCUACCGUUUGGCAAAAAUGUGCUGCUACUCGGUAAAUAAAGGAUAUUUCUGUUUA
Molecule: long non-coding RNA, 165 nt
Organism: Xenopus laevis (African clawed frog)
Lineage: Eukaryota; Metazoa; Chordata; Amphibia; Anura; Pipidae
Exons: 2
Source: RefSeq, a predicted model, not a curated record